Molecule: small nuclear RNA, 98 nt
Organism: Cucurbita moschata (crookneck pumpkin)
Lineage: Eukaryota; Viridiplantae; Streptophyta; Magnoliopsida; Cucurbitales; Cucurbitaceae
Source: RefSeq, a predicted model, not a curated record
UUCCUUAUAGGACAUCCAAAAAAAUUGGAACGAUACAAAAAAGAUUAGCACGGCCCCUACGCAAGGAGGACACACACAAGAAAGGAUAUCAUAGCCGU